Molecule: ribosomal RNA, 253 nt
Filed under: uncultured prokaryote
Description: partial 16S ribosomal RNA
Rfam family: Bacterial small subunit ribosomal RNA
Source: RNAcentral
UACGUAGGGUGCAAGCGUUAAUCGGAAUUACUGGGCGUAAAGCGCGCGUAGGCGGUUAGGUAAGUCGAUUGUGAAAUCCCCGGGCUCAACCUGGGAAUUGCAGUCGAGACUGUCUGACUAGAGUGUGGGAGAGGGUGGUGGAAUUCCCGGUGUAGCGGUGAAAUGCGUAGAGAUCGGGAGGAACACCAGCGGCGAAGGCGGCGACCUGGACAGGUACUGACACUCAACUACGAAAGCGUGGGGCGCAAACAGG